CACAAGCGGGCGUGAGAAACCGGCCACCGCCACCCCAGGGCUUCCUGUCCCCGGAGUCCCCCGGCCGCGUGCGCCUGGGCCCCAUUGGGUCGGCCCUGGAAUGGCCUCAGGGUGAGACGACUUAGAAGCAGAAUGGGGAGGGGGCUCGUAGCUUCCUCCUCCCCGCAACCCCCCACUCAGCAGCAAACCCCAGAGCUGGGCUGGAGCUCCGUGGGAGCUAGGACUAUGUCCCCAACGACCCAGGCCGGGGACUUUUCUACCCGCGCCCUCCGUCUGCGGAGGAAGGGUCAGGGCAGCUGGCUACGUCGCGGUAAAUCUCAGGAUGUUCCCUCCUCUCUUUCUGGAACAAAAUUUCUCGAAUGCGGCCUGGGGAUCACCUUCUUCAGAAUGAAAGGAGGGGUGGUUAAGUGCUGAUUCUUGGGCCCCACCCGAAGCUACUGAAUCGGCGCUCUGGGCACCUUAGAUGAACCCGUGCGCCCGCCGUCUGAACCGUCGAGGCGCAGCGCUAGAUGCCUCAGACCGCCCGUGGGUCACAAGUGCAAAGGAGACGUCUGAGUGUCCCUGUUAAACAGGGCCCAUCGCAGGAGGCUUCCUCUCCACAGGAGCCGGCUUUGGUAGCAGUGGAUUGACCCAGAGGCAAGAGGAGAACUGAGGCCAGUCGGGGGCCAGGAAGGGAGGUUCCGGGAAGCCCAGGAGUUGAAGGCUGCAGUGAGCGAGACUGCACCCCUGCACUGUACCCUGGGUGACACAGCAAGACCCCAUCUCUCAAUAAAUAAAAAAUAAUAAAA
Molecule: long non-coding RNA, 788 nt
Filed under: Homo sapiens (human)
Lineage: Eukaryota; Metazoa; Chordata; Mammalia; Primates; Hominidae
Description: HSALNT0344471
Source: RNAcentral